Molecule: ribosomal RNA, 462 nt
Filed under: Triticum aestivum (bread wheat)
Lineage: Eukaryota; Viridiplantae; Streptophyta; Magnoliopsida; Poales; Poaceae
Description: partial small subunit ribosomal RNA
Source: RNAcentral
GUGGCGGCAGCUGAGGAGACUGAAGCGGUCGCGGUCGCCGAGCUGCAAGGAGAAGCGCUCGGCGGGGAGACGAUUGGGGGCCUCCAUGGUAGGUACGAAGGAGACGGUCGCCCUUCGCUGGUCCGUGAUGAAGCAGCCGAGGAUGGGAGGGCGGAGGCGGUGGCGGAGGAGGAAGCGGCUGACGAAGCCGGGGUCGGAGACGAGGCGGCGCCAGCGGGUGCAGACGGCGGAGGCGCGCGGGAGGGAGGACGGAUCCGGUGGGAGGCGGAGGAGGAUCUCGUCGAGCAGGUCGUCGUCGUCGAGCGGCGGCGCCGACGUCGGGCGGAGGCGGCGGCCGAAGCUGGCCGUCAUCUCGCCCUCCUCAGUUGCUCGUGCGGCGGAUGGGGUGGGUGGGGUGGACUCGAAGGGCAAGGUUGGCCGUACACUGGAGAAGAGAAAACUGAGGCUGCGAGUGAGAUUUGA